This 251-nucleotide ribosomal RNA is filed under the name uncultured bacterium. RNAcentral describes it as "partial 16S ribosomal RNA". It matches the Rfam family "Bacterial small subunit ribosomal RNA", at positions 57 to 305 of the family's 1533-position model. The record is from RNAcentral.
GCAAGUCGAACGGUAACAUGAAUAGCAAUAUUUGAUGACGAGUGGCGCACGGGUGCGUAACGCGUAUGCAAUCUACCUUUAACUGGUGAAUAGCCCGAAGAAAUUCGGAUUAAUACACCAUAGCAUAUUUGAAUGGCAUCAUUUAAAUAUUAAAACUCCGGUGGUUAAAGAUGAGCAUGCGUGACAUUAGCUAGUUGGUGAGGUAAUGGCUCACCAAGGCUACGAUGUCUAGGGGAUCUGAGAGGAUUAAC